Molecule: ribosomal RNA, 253 nt
Filed under: uncultured bacterium
Lineage: Bacteria
Description: partial 16S ribosomal RNA
Rfam family: Bacterial small subunit ribosomal RNA
Source: RNAcentral
UACAGAGGUCUCAAGCGUUGUUCGGAUUCAUUGGGCGUAAAGGGUGCGUAGGCGGCGCGGUAAGUCGGGUGUGAAAUCUCGGAGCUUAACUCCGAAACUGCAUUCGAUACUGCCGUGCUUGAGGACUGGAGAGGAGACUGGAAUUUACGGUGUAGCGGUGAAAUGCGUAGAUAUCGGGAGGAACACCUGCGGUGUAGACGGCUAUCUGGACGACCACUGACGCUGAGACACGAAAGCGUGGGUAGCAAACAGG